This 154-nucleotide ribosomal RNA is filed under the name uncultured bacterium. RNAcentral's name for it is "partial 16S ribosomal RNA". It matches the Rfam family "Bacterial small subunit ribosomal RNA", at positions 355 to 504 of the family's 1533-position model. The record is from RNAcentral.
UGGGGAAUCUUGCACAAUGGGGGCAACCCUGAUGCAGCGACGCCGCGUGAGCGAUGAAGCCCUUCGGGGUGUAAAGCUCUUUCGGCAGGGAAGAGCCUAGGGUUAAUACCCCUGAGUCUUGACGUAACCUACAGAAGAAGCACCGGCUAACUCC